RNAcentral lists this non-coding RNA (166 nucleotides) under uncultured Frisingicoccus sp. RNAcentral describes it as "malK-I RNA". It matches the Rfam family "malK-I RNA". Lineage: Bacteria; Bacillati; Bacillota; Clostridia; Lachnospirales; Lachnospiraceae. The record is from RNAcentral.
UGCCGCUACUCCAUUUUUAUAGAGGCGGGCACCGACAAAAGGAGGAGAAUCCGCCAGCCGGCGGUGCGGCAGUGUGGAGACCUGCCGUAAACUCCCGGGAGCAGAGCUCUCCCGGCGGGGAGGUUUUCGGAGCGGAGGCGCGGAGACUACGGCGAAAAAUUAUGUC